Molecule: ribosomal RNA, 211 nt
Filed under: uncultured bacterium
Lineage: Bacteria
Description: partial 16S ribosomal RNA
Rfam family: Bacterial small subunit ribosomal RNA
Source: RNAcentral
CACGUAGGCGGCUCUUUAAGUCAGGGGUGAAAUCCUGGAGCUCAACUCCAGAACUGCCUUUGAUACUGAGGAGCUCGAGUCCGGGAGAGGUGAGUGGAACUGCGAGUGUAGAGGUGAAAUUCGUAGAUAUUCGCAAGAACACCAGUGGCGAAGGCGGCUCACUGGCCCGGUACUGACGCUGAGGUAGCGAAAAGGCGUGGGGAAGCAAACA